AUGGAAAACAAGGACCCUAAGGCUAAUAUUUUUACACAAGCAAGAAGAGAAAUACAUGCGACCCACGCAGGCAGCUUGCGACACAGAAACAGGGAAGAUGUGGCUCCUGGAAGGGACUGCAAACUGCCUGCGGCCAGCCGGCGGGGCGCCCCGUGGUCACGGUGCCUCGGGGCAAAUGGAGACCGUCACUCCGGUGCGAGGACGGCYGGCAGGCCGGGAGGAGGAGAGCAAUGCUGCCGGUGCCAGAGCGCGUCCCCGGGAAAAGGGUCUACAUGUGGCAGAUGCUGGACGCCACUGAAACGUGACCUGAAGUGGCUAACUACUCACCUCGGUUAUUCACCGCCGUUGCUGCCUGCGCAUCCUGUGGGGGAGCACGAGGCUAGACAUGUGGCUGCACAAGCUGAACAGCCAGCAGGUCUCAUUCCUCCUUUCUGCGACUUUCCAGCCUGAGAAAAGUGCUCAGUGGGGUGGAGCAGAAAACCCCUCUGGAGAAGGCAACCCACAGAACUGAACUUGCUCCGCCGAGGACACAUACAGGGAGGUCCUGUGCUGCAUCUCUACAAGGGACCAUGAAGGGUCCAGGGAAAGGAUUAAACUAACCGUAUUUCUUGGCACUCGCCCAAGCGAGUUCACAGACUGGAAAAAGUACCCUGGCCUAAGUAGCCUUCAGGGUUGGCUUCCCCCUGGCUUGGAGGACGUUGCAGCUGCGCUGCGUUGCUAGCGACACCUGGGCCAGCAUGGGGGUGUCUACUUGAGCUAAGCCAUUGUGUGAGAUGCAUCCCCAGCUUCAACAGCUUCCACGGGUUACUUUAGCAGCACAGCUGGCCAGCUGCAAGCCAACACAUUUCUAUGAAAAAUGCUGAAAAUCUGCUCCCUCAGUUCCUAUCCCCAGUGCACCCUUGCUUUGUCUGAGUUGGGCCUCUUUAACAAGCUGGCCCCUACCUGUGUGGUGUAACAGAGAUGAUGAUGAGCUGAAUAGCUCACCUAUAGCAUCUGCGUGCUGUGAUAAUGACCAGGACUGAGGAAAGAAAGCAUGAAAAAAUACGAAGGCGCUGUCUUUGGAAGGCAACAGAAAAUCACUACUUGUAUGGGUAAAAGCUGGGCUAAUGAAGCAGGAUAGCAAUACUGAAGUAACUACAGGUGGCUGGGGAAACCUCCUGCAGGAGACUUCAAAGUAGCUAAACUGCUUAUAUGAUGUGCUGUAAGUUGGCUUUCUGUCAUUAGAUACUCGUUAGAAGGGCUACAAGUAAAUAAGAAUGCUCAUUAUCAAAACACCUUGAGUAAAUUUGAUGUCCAGAGAUAUUUUAAGGGAAAAGAUGCUGGUGAAGCAUCAGGUACUCUUUUUCUGUUCUCUUUGAACCUAAUAUCCACAACAGGCAGGAAGCAUUAGAUGAAAACCAGGAUUUCUUCCUAGUAAAUUUUGAAUUAUCCAAUUUCCUUCUUUUAGCCUAGUUAUAUUGUACUAGAUGAUGUCCUUUUUUGCUUUAAAUUAUGGCUGAAAAGUUAUAUAAAAGAAAGAAUAGAAAGAGAAAAACAGAAGCUAAAGUACACGCCUUUGCAUUCUCUUUUGCAUGCAGAACGGGUGCAGCUAGAAGUGGCAUGUGGCUAGGUUGUGUCUCAGGGCUGCGUACAAGCGUACCUGUGCCUGAGCUUGCAUUUCCUCACAGCUGCUGGUAUACUAUGAGUUUGGGUUAUUUUCCAUGCAUACUUGCAUGUGCCUACUAAUGAAAAUCAAGCCAAAAAUCAUGUUUCUUCAGCUGGUUUUGCUUAAUUUAGCCAUUUCCGACCAUCUGAUCGCUUUGUGAAUUUUACCCUGCUCUACUUUUCCGAUUUCACCAGGCUCUAGCUUUCUCUGUCCUUUUCUCUGUAAAGCUUCCUGUUCAUCCAAAUAAAUUUUGUCUCCUGACAAUCUUCCUCUUUCUA
Long non-coding RNA from Dromaius novaehollandiae (emu), 1923 nucleotides. The record is from Ensembl. Lineage: Eukaryota; Metazoa; Chordata; Aves; Casuariiformes; Dromaiidae.